AGUGAACGCUGGCGGUAGGCCUAACACAUGCAAGUCGAACGGCAGCACAGUAAGAGCUUGCUCUUACGGGUGGCGAGUGGCGGACGGGUGAGGAAUACAUCGGAAUCUACUUUUUCGUGGGGGAUAACGUAGGGAAACUUACGCUAAUACCGCAUACGACCUACGGGUGAAAGCAGGGGAUCUUCGGAACUUGCGCGAUUGAAUGAUCCGAUGUCGGAUUAGCUAGUUGGCGGGGUAAAGGCCCACCAAGGCGACGAUCCGUAGCUGGUCUGAGAGGAUGAUCAGCCACACUGGAACUGAGACACGGUCCAGACUCCUACGGGAGGCAGCAGUGGGGAAUAUUGGACAAUGGGCGCAAGCCUGAUCCAGCCAUACCGCGUGGGUGAAGAAGGCCUUCGGGUUGUAAAGCCCUUUUGUUGGGAAAGAAAAGCAGAAGGUUAAUACCCCGCUGUUCUGACGGUACAAAAAGAAUAAGCACCGGCUAACUUCGUG
RNAcentral lists this ribosomal RNA (492 nucleotides) under uncultured bacterium. RNAcentral describes it as "partial 16S ribosomal RNA". It matches the Rfam family "Bacterial small subunit ribosomal RNA", at positions 29 to 507 of the family's 1533-position model. The record is from RNAcentral.